Molecule: RNA transcript, 1917 nt
Organism: Beta vulgaris subsp. vulgaris (sugar beet)
Lineage: Eukaryota; Viridiplantae; Streptophyta; Magnoliopsida; Caryophyllales; Amaranthaceae
Exons: 5
Source: RefSeq, a predicted model, not a curated record
UUCAUUUUCUUCCUUUUUCAAUUUUCUCAAAAAAGAAAAAUAAAACCCCUGUUAAAUUUUUAAUUAUUAAUUGUUUUUUGAAGCUGGGUUAUCACUUAUCAGAAAGUGGCAGCUUGUACCAAAACUAUUACACAUUUCAAUUUCACUCACUAUCUGCUUCUUGAAAUUUCCAAGAACACAAAAAAACACCUACAGAUUUCAACCUACCACUAUCCCAUAAAUGCCAAAUAUUUCACCAAAAUUACAGCAAGCAAUUCUAGAGUGAAAAAAGUUAAGAGAGAGAAAAGGAGACAGAGAGUCUGUAAACUGUAAAGUGAGGUGUGUAAAUUUGGAAGCAUUCAUUUGAGCAAUAUAUAUUUAAUUUAAUUGAGUGUGAACCCAUUAAAUUUUUAGAGAGAGAAAGAUUGAAUUUUUACACUGGAAAGUGUAGAUUCAGUUGUUUAGAGUAAAGAAUAGCAAAAUAAGGGACAACCCACGAUCUGGGUAGUCCCCAUUAUUGCUGUAAAACCUUGCUUUCUCUCUCUACAAGUGUUUCUCUCUCUACCCAUAUACACUAAUCAUGCCUUCGGGUGCUAAGAAGAGAAAAGCUGCCAAGAAAAAGUUGCAAAAAGAAACCCAUAACUCUACCAACAACAACUAUGGGUCUCACUCUAAAGGGAAUGAUAAUGGAAAAUCCCAUGAUGAGAGAGAGAGUGAUGGUGGUGAAGGUGAAAGGGAGUCUUUUAAGGAAGUAAGAAAUGUUCAAGAAUUUUCGAGCGAAGGGAAGGGUAAUACUGGCGAGAGUUAUAAUGAUGUAAUGGUUAAUACUGAGGAUGAUGGUAGAGAGAGUAAGAAUGGGCAACAUGAGAAUUCCAGUUCUAGUUCCAGCAGUAGCAGUUCAGAUGAUGAGGAGGUUGCAGUUGAAAAGGAGAAACCUGUGGUAGCAGAGGCAUCAGGGGAGAAUCCAGUGAUUUCCGAGGUGGUCUGUGAUUCGGUUGAGGAGAGUAUCCCUGUUGAAGAGUCGGUUAAGCAAGUUGUGUCGUUGCCACAAGAGCCAAAUGCUGGGAGUGAGAGUGCGGCUGUUAAGAAUUCUAUGAUCUCUCAUGUUGUUGAAUCAGGAUUGAAGCAAAACUGUGAUGAAGUCUUGCCAUCAGCUGAUGAGAAAGACAAAGUUUCUUCUGGAGUGACAGAAUUUCUGCAGGAGGAGAUUGAAACAAAAGUGAUUCAAGUCAAGGAAGAGGUCCCUGGGAACCUUUCUGGAUCUGUGGACAUCGCAGCAAGAGAUGGUGACGGUUUGUUGCCUCCGUCUUCUGGUGUAAUACCUGCAGAUGCUUGUUAUGAGGAUAAUCAUGUGAAAGAGUCAGAGACACAUAAGUACGUCGAGGAGCAGCCAUUGGUAUCUUCUGCUCCACUGCCUGUGCGACGAACUUCCUGGAUGAAUUGCUGUGGGCUUUUUGAAGCUUUCUCAGGUGCAGCCAGUAGAUAAUUUUAGGAUUCACUGAUUGGAUGAACUAGUGUCAAGAGCUUGCGAGCUUCUAGAUGCUUAGAUAUGAUUGACAAUUUAGUCAAAGUUUCAAGCUCAAAUCAACGUCAGAAUAGAAGUGUUUUCUAUGGGAAGUAGAGAAACAUGGGUUAUAUAGGAAAAUUAAUGAUACAUAGACAUCGUAAGGACCAUCAAGCUUUUUUAUUAGAAUAAUUACAUAUUGGAUGUACUACAUAAACUGUUUGAUCCAUCUCGCACUAUCAUAGUGCGUUUGUUGAUAGUUUUUGCUUGAUUUCCUGGUGUUCUACAGACACUGUUUAUUUAUUUUUUUGGUGCAGCACUUGAAAGUGCGUUUUCUUUUGUUGGUUUAUUUUGUUUUUGGGUUCCGCUGUAUGAUUUGUUUAAGGAAUGUUUCUAGUUAAUAUUACAUGAGAUAGAAGGUCUACUUGCUCUAA